CUAUGUACGUAAAAAAUGAGAGAGGAAAUACCCCUCUCUGUUUGUCAGCAACAUUGGGUAGUGUCAAAAUGUGCAAGUGCAUUGCUAAGGUAGAUUGUAAGUUAAUCGGUGUUCGCAACAAGAAGGAAAUGACCCCUUUGUUCUUGGCUGCUCUCAAUGGUAAGAAUCAUGCUUUCCUCUGUCUUGAUGAUCUUUGUAGCCAGGACGACCGCUAUCACUAUUGACGUCGCAGGAACAAUGGCGAGACUGUUCUUCAUUCUGCCAUCAAUGGAGAAUUCUUUGAUUUGGCAUUUCAAAUAAUUUGUCAAUAUGGAGACCUCGUUAACUAUGUAACCGAAAAAGGAUCGUCUCCACUCCAUGUUAUGGCCACCAAGCCCUCUGCCUUCAAAAGUGGAAGGGCCUUGUAGGGUUUGACAAAAUCGUUUACUACUGUACAUUUGUUGAUGAGCUAAAGCAAGACAAGGUGAGAGAGGAAGAAGAAGAGAGAAAGAAACCCAAGCUUCCGGAGAACUAUCAAACUUGUAUCAACAUCUUUGUACUGUUCAGGGAUGCCUUCUGUGUACCUUGUGAGUAGUAUGUGUGAUUUCUUAGCUGUGCUAGGAAUAUUGAUAAGGAAGAGCCUACCGUCUAAGAAAGUAUACCAAAAAAUUAACCAAACCCUUAUAUCAAUGGUGCAGAUUUAA
Non-coding RNA from Camellia sinensis, 683 nucleotides. NCBI's taxonomy places the organism in Eukaryota, Viridiplantae, Streptophyta, Magnoliopsida, Ericales, Theaceae. The record is from RefSeq and is a predicted model, not a curated record.